This 253-nucleotide ribosomal RNA is filed under the name uncultured bacterium. RNAcentral's name for it is "partial 16S ribosomal RNA". It matches the Rfam family "Bacterial small subunit ribosomal RNA", at positions 524 to 776 of the family's 1533-position model. The record is from RNAcentral.
UACGUAGGGGGCAAGCGUUGUCCGGAUUUACUGGGCGUAAAGAGCGUGUAGGCGGCCACGCAGGUCCGUUGUGAAAACUGGAGGCUCAACCUCCAGCUGUCGACGGAAACCGUAUGGCUAGAGUCCGGAAGAGGAGAGUGGAAUUCCUGGUGUAGCGGUGAAAUGCGUAGAUAUCUGGAGGAAUACCGGUGGCGAAGGCGGGUCUCUGGGCAGUUCCUGACGCUGAGGCACGAAGGCCAGGGGAGCAAACGGG